GACGAACGCUGGCGGCGCGCUUAACACAUGCAAGUCGAACGAUGAACCACUUCGGUGGGGAUUAGUGGCGAACGGGUGAGUAACACGUGGGCAAUCUGCCCUUCACUCUGGGACAAGCCCUGGAAACGGGGUCUAAUACCGGAUACAACACUCUCGGGCAUCCGAUGAGUGUGGAAAGCUCCGGCGGUGAAGGAUGAGCC
RNAcentral lists this ribosomal RNA (200 nucleotides) under uncultured bacterium. RNAcentral's name for it is "partial 16S ribosomal RNA". It matches the Rfam family "Bacterial small subunit ribosomal RNA", at positions 28 to 231 of the family's 1533-position model. The record is from RNAcentral.